GAUUUCUGGCUUGAAACAUUUGGCCGGCCACGGUUUCGUGUGUUAGUGCUUUGUGUUCUGGCCAUCCUUCCAAUCGCUACUGGCUAUUCUUCAUUGAUUGGUCAGUGGUAUUGGAUCUUUUACUUUGAAAAAAUUAGAGUGUUUCAAGCAGGCUUUAUGCUAUGAAUACAUUAGCAUGGAAUAAUAAUUUAGGACUUCGGUUCUAUUUUGUUGGUUUCUAGGACUGAAGUAAUGAUUGAUAGGGAUAGUUGGGGGUGCUAGUAUUCAGCGGCCAGAGGUGAAAUUCUCGGAUUCGCUGAAGACUAACUUAUGCGAAAGCAUU
Molecule: ribosomal RNA, 322 nt
Filed under: uncultured Cercozoa
Lineage: Eukaryota; Cercozoa
Description: SSU rRNA
Rfam family: Eukaryotic small subunit ribosomal RNA (bases 62-322)
Source: RNAcentral